Molecule: ribosomal RNA, 459 nt
Filed under: uncultured bacterium
Lineage: Bacteria
Description: partial 16S ribosomal RNA
Rfam family: Bacterial small subunit ribosomal RNA
Source: RNAcentral
AACGAACGCUGGCGGCAGGCUUAACACAUGCAAGUCGAACGCGAAAUCACCUUCGGGUGGUGGAGAGUGGCAGACGGGUGAGUAACGCGUGGGAAUCUACCUGAUGGUACGGAAUAACUCAGGGAAACUUGAGCUAAUACCGUAUGUGCCCGAAAGGGGAAAGAUUUAUCGCCAUCAGAUGAGCCCGCGUCGGAUUAGCUAGUUGGUGGGGUAACGGCCCACCAAGGCGACGAUCCGUAGCUGGUCUGAGAGGAUGAUCAGCCACACUGGGACUGAGACACGGCCCAGACUCCUACGGGAGGCAGCAGUGGGGAAUAUUGGACAAUGGGCGCAAGCCUGAUCCAGCCAUGCCGCGUGAGUGAUGAAGGCCCUAGGGUUGUAAAGCUCUUUCGGCGGGGACGAUAAUGACGGUACCCGCAGAAGAAGCCCCGGCUAACUUCGUGCCAGCCGCCGCCGUAA